ACAGCAAUUGCUGAAUGGUAUGGUGAGAGUAUGUUUAGUUUUGUAAGAAACUAUCAAACUGUCUUCCAUAGUGGCUAUACCGUUUUGCAUUCCCACAAGCAAU
RNAcentral lists this microRNA precursor (103 nucleotides) under Marmota monax (woodchuck). The record is from RNAcentral. Lineage: Eukaryota; Metazoa; Chordata; Mammalia; Rodentia; Sciuridae.